Molecule: ribosomal RNA, 292 nt
Filed under: uncultured Planctomycetota bacterium
Lineage: Bacteria; Pseudomonadati; Planctomycetota
Description: uncultured planctomycete partial 16S ribosomal RNA
Source: RNAcentral
GGACUACCGGGGUAUCUAAUCCCGUUUGCUCCCCUGGCUUUCGCGCCUCAGCGUCAGAAAGGGUCCAGCACGUCGCUUUCGCCACCGGCGUUCCUUCCGAUAUCUACGCAUUUCACCGCUCCACCGGAAGUUCCACAUGCCCCUACCCCCCUCGAGACGGCCAGUAUCUCCAGCUAUUCUCCGGUUGAGCCGAAGGAUUUCACCACAGACUUGACCGCCCGCCUACGCGCCCUUUAAGCCCAGUGAUUCCGAACAACGUUCGCACGGUUCGUCUUACCGCGGCUGCUGGCAC